This 83-nucleotide transfer RNA is filed under the name Rhodopirellula sp. Its description in RNAcentral is "tRNA-Ser". It matches the Rfam family "tRNA". Rfam says of the family: Transfer RNA (tRNA) molecules are approximately 80 nucleotides in length. Their secondary structure includes four short double-helical elements and three loops (D, anti-codon, and T loops). Lineage: Bacteria; Pseudomonadati; Planctomycetota; Planctomycetia; Pirellulales; Pirellulaceae. RNAcentral also lists the same sequence under 4 other names. The record is from RNAcentral.
GGAAGGUAUGCGAAUUGGUGAGCGACCUGAUUCGAAAUCAGGGGCCGGGUGACCGGUUGCGGGUUCGAGUCCCGUGCCUUCCG